Molecule: ribosomal RNA, 253 nt
Filed under: uncultured bacterium
Lineage: Bacteria
Description: partial 16S ribosomal RNA
Rfam family: Bacterial small subunit ribosomal RNA
Source: RNAcentral
UACGUAGGGUGCGAGCGUUGUCCGGAAUUAUUGGGCGGAAAGAGCUUGUAGGCGGUCUGUCGCGUCUGCUGUGAAAAUCCGGGGCUCAACCCCGGACUUGCAGUGGGUACGGGCAGACUAGAGUGUGGUAGGGGAGACUGGAAUUCCUGGUGUAGUGGUGAAAUGCGCAGAUAUCAGGAGGAACACCGAUGGCGAAGGCAGGUCUCUGGGCCACUACUGACGCUGAGAAGCGAAAGCAUGGGGAGCGAACAGG